GCCUAUAUGUUGCCUUUAUCUGCAUUUGCACCUGCACUUUACUCAGUUUCUCUGUAACAUAUAUAAGAACACAUGUCAGUUCAGAAAGAAGUGAAAUGUAUAUAGGAAUAGAGGAACUGAGAAUGAGGUGCAGGUACAUCUGCAGGUGAAUGCCAUAUUGGC
Molecule: non-coding RNA, 162 nt
Organism: Cajanus cajan (pigeon pea)
Lineage: Eukaryota; Viridiplantae; Streptophyta; Magnoliopsida; Fabales; Fabaceae
Source: Rfam